UGCGUAGGCGGUUGGGUAAGUCAGACGUGAAAUUCCAGGGCUCAACCCUGAAACUGCGUUUGAUACUGCCUGACUAGAGUACUGGAGAGGAGACUGGAAUUCACGGUGUAGCAGUGAAAUGCGUAGAUAUCGUGAGGAAGACCAGUGGCGAAGGCGAGUCUCUGGACAGUAACUGACGCUGAGGCACGAAGGCCAGGGGAGCAAACG
This 207-nucleotide ribosomal RNA is filed under the name uncultured bacterium. Its description in RNAcentral is "partial 16S ribosomal RNA". It matches the Rfam family "Bacterial small subunit ribosomal RNA", at positions 568 to 774 of the family's 1533-position model. The record is from RNAcentral.